Molecule: ribosomal RNA, 1326 nt
Filed under: metagenome
Description: bacterial LSU rRNA
Rfam family: Bacterial large subunit ribosomal RNA
Source: RNAcentral
AGUGGAUGGGGAGCAACCUAGUUGUGCGUGUGUAAAGGUAGUGCCAAGAAAAGCGGUGAUCAUGAUGAAAAUCAAUUCCCGGUACCCGAAACCGACACAGGUGGGCAAGUAGAGAAUACUAAGGGGCGCGAGGUAACUCUCUCCAAGGAACUCGGCAAAAUGCCCCCGUAACUUAGGGAGAAGGGGUGCCACCGAGAGGUGGUCGCAGUGAAGAUGCCCAGGCGACUGUUUAGCAAAAACAUAGGUCUCUGCAAACUCGAAAGAGGAGGUAUAGGGGCUGACGCCUGCCCAGUGCCGGAAGGUUAAAGAAGUUGGUCAGUCUUAGGAUAAAGCUAGCGACUGAAGCCCCGGUGAACGGCGGCCGUAACUAUAACGGUCCUAAGGUAGCGAAAUUCCUUGUCGGGUAAGUUCCGACCCGCACGAAAGGCGUAACGAUCUGGGCGCUGUCUCGGAGAGAGGCUCGGCGAAAUAGGAUUGUCUGUGAAGAUACGGACUACCUGCAUUUGGACAGAAAGACCCUAUGAAGCUUUACUAUAGCUUGGUAUUGUGUUCGGGCUUCCCGUGCGCAGGAUAGGUGGGAGGCGAAGAAGGUAUUCUUGUGGGGAUACUGGAGCCAACGGUGAGAUACCACUCUCAGGAGGCUAGAAUUCUAACUUAAUUAAGGACAGUUUCAGGUGGGUAGUUUGACUGGGGCGGUCGCCUCCAAAAAAGGUAACGGAGGCGUACAAAGGUUCCCUCAGACUGGUUGGAAAUCAGUCGCAGAGUGCAAAGGCAGAAGGGAGCUUGACUGCGAGAAGUACAGUUCGAGCAGGGUGGAAACACGGUCUUAGUGAUCCGACGGUGCUGUGUGGAAGGGCCGUCGCUCAACGGAUAAAAGUUACUCUAGGAUAACAGGCUGAUCUCCCCCAAGAGUUCACAUCGACGGGGAGGUUUGGCACCUCGAUGUCGGCUCAUCGCAACCUGGGGCGGAAGUACGUCCCAAGGGUUGGGCUGUUCGCCCAUUAAAGCGGUACGUGAGCUGGGUUCAGAACGUCGUGAGACAGUUCGGUCCAUAUCCGAUGUAGGCGUGAGAAUAUUGAGAGGAGCCUUCCUUAGUACGAGAGGACCGGGAAGGACGCACCGCUGGUGUACCUGUUAUGAUGCCAAUUGUAAACGCAGGGUAGCCAAGUGCGGAGAGGAUAACCGCUGAAAGCAUCUAAGUGGGAAGCCCACCUCAAGAUGAGUAUUCUGGUGUAAGGUCACGGGAAGACGACCCGUAAAUAGGCACGAGGUGGAAGUGCAGAGAUGUAUGAAGCCGAAGUGUACUAAUAGACCGUCGGCUUGACC